CAGAGAUACACAGACCAAGACAGCAAAUUAACGUUAAUCCAACGAGUUAGCGUUAAUCCAGCUUGGAACAACAGGCCCCUGGUGUUGAUAACUGUCGAUUUACAGCAUAUACAAUUUAAUUUGUCAUUAUCUCAUUGUUCUUUUAGUUCCCAAGUCAAGAGCGCCGUUCUAGGCGUAAGCCCGGGACGGGCAAAGCGACUGCAAAGGAAAAUGGCCUUAACAACGUGUGCGCAGGAGGCUAGGCGGAAUUCCGCUCCACUCGCAAAAUUCCGCCCAGUGGAACAGGGAGUGUUGUGAAAUGUGAAUAGUAAUAUGUCACGUUUAUAUUGACAAAAAUGACGUGCUAUCGUUGCUAUAGUGACAAUAACGUUCCGAUAUUUUGGAUAUUUGAAUUCUAU
Paramuricea clavata is the source of this 398-nucleotide non-coding RNA. The record is from the annotation of a GenBank genome assembly. Lineage: Eukaryota; Metazoa; Cnidaria; Anthozoa; Malacalcyonacea; Plexauridae.